CAACUGGCCCGUGAUCCUUACGGCGAUCACAACCACAUUAAUCAGCUUAAUUAUUUUAGGUUUAUCCUCCAUUUUGACCAAGACCCGAUAGUGUACCCUACUAUGAACUUAUGCCCAUGACCGAGGACGCGGCUAUCGAUAGUUUAAAUACACUCUGCAGAGGUAGCACACUGUACCCACACCACAGAACCCAUGGCCUCGUCAUCCCAUUCGGGUGGACCAACGGCGUUCCGACAAAACCGAUAUAUUGUCAUGACACUCUCUUGGCCACUCCGACUAACUCCCCACUGGGCUAGUCGUGGGUGGCCCCAUGUCUACCUCAAGACACAUCGACCACCGUCGUGGCCACGAUCCAGUCUCGGACCUGGUACCAAAAACUUAACAAUGGGCACACAAGGCUUAUGUCCGCCUACCUGAUCAGGGUAGCGCGCGCCCAUAACAUUCCCUAGUUGGAGGCACCGACCAGAGGCACGACAAUAGACCGCGUUAAGUCCGUCCCAUACCGACAAAUGUGGUUGCACUGGAAAAAAGUUCGAUUUGGCGGCACUAUGACUCGAUCCCAUCGAUGAAGGAGGAGGUUUUUCAUUAUUAAUUCAUUUCAAUUCCUUCUCCAUCAUCAUGAACAUGAAUGCAACAAUGAGCAUACAUCAUACAGAUACUUUAAACAAAACAUCGAGCUUCUCAAGUGAACACUUACAGCAUAAAUAACAUGACAAUACCAAGUACUAACAUAUCCACUGUGCAUUACCAUCAUCAUAGAAUUUUAUAACGAUGACAUGAAAAUAAAUUAGAGUAGAGACAUGGCAUCAUAAAUAAGAACAUUCUAAUUAUCAUGGCAAGAAGUAGCAUGAAAACACAAGCAUGCAUGACAGGCAUAACAAAAUAACUGCAGAUGAAAACAAGAAGAAAUAACUGCAACUACACACACACAAGGUGCAAGAAAAGUCAACACGCAAGUUCGGGGCUCAUGAUAAGAGGUUGGCUUGCCUGGGGGCGACAAAUACUCCGGGAAGAAGUGAGAAACGAUCUCAGAAAAAUUUGCCGAAAACAUUUCUCUCCCGGAGGGGGCUGUUUAUGGACAAGGGCAAAAUGGUCAUUUUUACAGUGUCAAACCAUAGUGAAAAUGAUCUCAUUGGAACGGGCUCGACGAAACAAAAAUGUGGACGUUGGAUUUACCUCAAUCGGAGUUACGGUUGUCGAGAUACGAAGGGUUGAAGUUCAGGGACCUAUCGGUGAAAAUAUUUCAGCAAAUAGGCCCCUGGAGGAAAAAAAUUAUCGCGCAUUUCGGAGAUUAUGCGUUCGGUCAGGGAAAACGGCUCGCGGCGGGGGCGCUUCCACUUGAAUGAUGUGGCGACGACCGGGUCAAAGGGCAGAGGCGGGGCCGGGCUCCAGUGCCGCUGACAGGUGGGGCCACGGGGCCCGCCUGGCCAGGUCAACGCGCCAGCCGGGCCGGCUCCUUCUCCUUCGCUCAAUGCGUGCCAGGCCGAGGGGAGACGCCCGCCCCAACGCUGCUCGUCGGCGCGUCCGGCCACGGCAGGCGACGGGCGACCUACCCACGGGAUCAGGAGGAGGAGGCGCAGCCCAGGGUAGUCUCCAUUGCCGGCGACGAGCACUGGAGAGGGAGCAGCAGGGGCCGCUACGGAGAGGAGCUUUGGCCUCCAGCGAGGAUGGAGCUAUGGUGGGGGAACGGAGAGGCUGAGGCCACGGGGAGGCUCUCCAGAGCAUGGGGGAUGCGGUUGUGGAGGAGAAACGGCGAGGGGAUACCCUGGUCGCCAGAACCAGAGAAGACCAAGGCAGUGGCCAUGGCGAUGGGGAGGGGCCAGAGAAGCUCCGGGCGAGGGGUAGAGCUGCGGGAGGCUAGUGGACUGUGAGGGGGGCUCGGGAGGGCUACUUAUAAUCGCGGGGAGAGCUCGAGGGGGAGGGGGCAAGGUGGCACGCAGCGGGCCACGUGUCCGUGCGUCAGCGACAGCGCAGGGUCGGCAGUUGCGGCCAAGGCUCGCGGGAGGCGGUGGGAAGGCGACGAGGAGGGUCACGACGAGCAGCAGAGGCUCACGGAGACGAGGGGCACUCGCGGACGGGAGGGAGAAGAAAAUAGAAGAGAGGAAGAAGACGAUGCCCACGGACGCACUGCUCGACCCUUGGCACAGCUCGUCGGAGAAGCAAACGAAGGGGGAGCGGGGUCCAGGCGAACGAAGACGAUGAUGCGGAGCUACUGGACAUUAAUGGCGAGGUCAGGCACAGUCGGAGCAGCGCUGCCGACGAGAACAGUGGCUAGACCACCGUUUUGGCUGGCUGCACUCGUGGUCACCACUGGCAUAGCGCACUCUGGGUUUUUUUACUGAGGUUAAACCAUGGCUAACGCAUAGUCCUUCGAAGAUAGAUUGUCACUAUGGUAAAUAGACCGGCAGAGACAAAGGGAGAUGAGUAAACCAUGCUCCACAUGUUUGUUGUUGCAAACUUGGCAACAUGUUGGAGAUAAAACCAGAGAGGUCAAAUGGUAGAAUUGAUGUCUAGGAGGCUUAGGGUAGCAAGGACUACGGUCCUGGGAGUUUUGAGGUCAUUAGGACACAUAUUUAGCAUAGUUGCUUAACAACUGCUAAAGUAUGUCCAGAAACUAGAUGAUGAACAGGCACUCACUAGUAGUGUUGGAUUGAGCUAUAACGUGGCAAAUCCUCAUGAUUUGGUCAUAAGUAGAUGCUGUAAAAAGAUCACACCAAAUGGACUUACCAAAUUGGUACUUUCUUCACAAGCAUUACUUUUGACCAGAAACUUUGGAAACUUCUAGGAAAAUAUUGGCUAAAUGAAAUUAGCUAAACUCUUGGGUAGAUGGGUUAUAUGGAUAGGAGAAGGCUUGGAAUUAUUUUCAGCCAUAAUGGAGCAAGAUAAAAUAUACUUGCUUAACAAACUGAAAAUUUGGACAGGAUACAAGAAUUGCUCCUGUGCUCACAUAGCUCAAUGAAAUGAGCUGAAUUUGGGUUAAGGAUAAUGAUUUGGGAUAAUUAAGAGGAUGGAAAAGUUUCAUCCCAUUUGGAAACUCUAAGAAGGUACUUCCUUCACAAAGUGACAAUCUGGUCAGAAACUUUGAAAAACUGCACAGGGAUCUAGGAUGAUUGGAUUUAGCUCAUAUUUUGUAUCCAUGGGUUAUUUAUCAAUAUUAAACACCCUGCCAAUUUUCAGCUCAAAUGGAAUUAGUAAUAAAGCACUUCCUUUGCAAACUUUCAGAGAAGGUAGAAACUUGCAUUGGAUCAUGUGCUCAAUUUUUGAUCUGUGGAACAUGAGAUAAAGAUGGAACUAGUGAUUAUAUAACAAGGAGAAGCUCCACAAUUUAUGUGAGAAUUUUCCCUGCUAUAAAAAUAGUAGUUCCUUUAGAAAAUGGCAGAAAUGCAAUAUUGGCAUUAAAUAGGAAAAGGCAAUUUUCCUUAUUUAAUUAUGGCCAAUAUAUUUUCCAGAGAUUGGAUUAGGCAUAAUUAUCAACUCCACCAAUUCACAUGAAUUUAGGAGAUGGCUAGAUAUGUCUUUUGAUUUUAUUCCUCAGAAAGGCAAGAAAAGGAAAAAAAUCACCAUUCAAAAAUAUUGCAUGGGACUUGGCAAUAUUUUUGCAUACACAAGGUUGAAAAGGAUAGGAGGGUCUCUAGGAAUAGAUGGGUGAUCAACAGAUCAAGGAAAAUGAUAGCCCCUUUGAAAUCACAAAGGGCAUAUCCAAAUCCCAAAAUUUGGAAUUAGGGUUUGAGAGGGUUAAAGAUGAUGCAACUGAGGUCUUGCCCACUAAAAAAUACAUGAGCAAGGUUUGAAAGGUUGGAAAUGACAGGAAAUCUCAGAGUCAUCCAACAAACUCAGGAGAAAGAUUUUGAAAAUGAGUGCCAGGAAGGAAUAACAGCACAAAAAUUGAUAACCCAGUUUUGGGGCUGUUACAAACCUUCCCCCCUUAAAAGAAUCUCGCCCUCGAGAUUCCUAGGGUUACAGCACAAAGAAAAGAUAACCACUCCAGGGAAAAGAAUCUAUGGGUUAAAAUUUAACCCUUUGGUCAAAUUCAAACGAGUUGGGGCACCGAUAAUUGGUACACCCAGGAAGAGAUAUGGGCAAACACGGUUAUAUCCAUGGCUAGGGGCACUCGGGAUCAAACUCUCGAAAAAUUGCUAGAUGCACCCAGUGAACAGUGGACUCACCUGCUGACACUUGGGUCCAGGGCCCACUGGUAGCCUCCUUCUUCUACCUCUGACUAGCUGCUUCUCCUACGUUGCUGCUUCGCGUGCGGUUUGGCGCAGCGUGCAUCUAGCUCGUAGGGCGAUGAGGACCCUAGUGCCGUAGUGCACGGCGUGCACGGCGCCGAUGCAGCGAGCACUCACGUUGCGGGCCAGCACCUUGUCGGCACUGCUCACGGAUUCGCCUCCUGGACGCCGGUGAUCGGGCGACGAGCGAGUUUCCUGGACUCCGCUCACCGUACACCGGGGUUGGGCUAUAAAAACGGCAGCGCGGCUCGCUUCCAACACACAAACACAAUUCCACUCUACUACCUCUUUGGUUUGGGCGAGAUCGAGCCGAGCUCCUUUGGCGAGGAGGUGUUCUUGGUGGCGCUACGGUUGUUCCUCGCGGCACUGCUGGGCACGCUGGUCGGCUCGUCGAUCCUCCUGGUGAUUCUCAUCAGGAACGAGCGAGCUCGAGACAAUGCGCGGCUGGUGGCUCGAGGUGUGGAAGAAGAUGGCCCACGGGGUGGUCCUCCGCCACGCUUGGUUCUCCGUCGCUUCGCACCGGUGGAGUAAUCGUGUGUUGCGGCGGAGCGGUGGUGGCGAUUUGUGGUGCCACGCAAGGCAGUGAUGGUGUGGAUGAGGGGUUUGGAUGCAGGUGAGGUGGCUACGCCAGCUCAGGAAUCAGUUUAGGGCACAGGAAAAAAUUCGCGGAUUGCUCCUCGAAAUGAAGGUGUCGAGGUAGAAUUGGAGUUGAAAUCAGUAUCGGGGAGUUGUAAUGGAUCGCGAGAAAUAAAGCUGGCAGUGUUUCUUCUGAAACACAAUUGGGUUCACGAAAAAGAAUCAGGGACGAGAAAUGGCCAGAUGAAAAUGGCCUCUUUGAGGUUCUGGGUUUGGAAAAUCUGGCACACGGGGUAUGCACAGAUAGAGAGGGAUAUGUGACUUUGCAUUCCCUCGAGUACUGCUCAAAUGUACUCAUGGGUGAACCGAGUAUGCGUGCAGUAUGCAGUCAAAUCUAAACAAACAGACAGAAGCAAUAACCAGGCAAAGGAAAAAUACACCAGACAAAUCACACUAAGGUGUUUUAAUGCUAGUGGGUAUAUGUACUCCUGGUAUACAUAUACCUACACCAUCGCGCAUUUUAUUAGAGACUCGAAACGAGUCAAUGUUUUUUUAGUGUAUGUGUUCUACUGAUUAAAAUCUUGUUAGGACACAUUGCCAACCCUGUCAAACAUUUCUGUUUGAUAGAGAGACAAGCAAAAACAAACACACAAACAAAAGCAAACAAGCAAAUAACACAGCAGACGGGUUACAACAGUACCAACAUACAACAAAGCACAAACGCACUACGCGCUAAUCAAAACUACUCACUCCGGGAUAGAUGGUUCCAUCCUCAUAUCAGGGAUGAACCGACAGACCGAUCGACUAGCAGGAACCAUUGACUGCAUGACUGAGGUCAGGCAGAAGACUAGCCUUGCUGGGGCUCCCCUGGAGGACGAAGACUGAGCCAAUCUCCAUCUUCAUCGUCCGACACUUCUAUGGGUUGGGGUGGUGGGGCUGAAAUUGCUCCAGGAAAAUGCUGCUGAUGGAUCUGGAGAAGAGACUUGUCGAGGGUGAUGAUGUUUGGCUUGGGCCAUAGCACAAGUUGACAUGAUGGCACUGGUUCGGAUGGCAUUGGGUCAACAGCUUGAGAUGCGAACUUACGAGCCUCACGGUAUGCUUCCUUGACAACUCGUACCACAUUAUUAUCCAUGGCUCUAAACUCGGCAAGCAGCAUAGAAAUCAAUAUCCCCUGGGCAGUGAUGUAUUGCACCAGGAGAGCGAUUGUGGGAUCAUCUCCUUGGCUAACGGGAGAAGGCUGCAUGACUGUGUUUGACACAGUGGGGAAAAAGCAGAACUCCUGCCUUGUUGCUACAUGCGGGAAGUUGGUUCGGAGGUGUAGGAUAGCCUCCAUAGCAGCGGCUUGAAUGGCUAAACCAGAGGUAGGCAUGGCCCUACCCAGUAAAACCAAAGGCUGGACAUCUGCUGCAGGGCCUAGGCUGAUGUGCACUCUUGCAACAAAGCGAUGAAGGUGAGGGACGGGUGUAGAUUGGAACACCAGGUAAUCGGGGCUAGUAUUACCGCCAAAUGCUUUGGUGAGCAUCUCGGCAAGAAGAGGUGGAAAGCCAGGGUGGUUGACAGCAUAGGUGCGGGUGUAAUAGGUGGGAGUUUUGGAGCUGCUAGUCAUGGCUGGGGAGCUACUAGCUAAGCUUCUCUGCAGGGACAUGGCGGACUAAGGAGCAAGCGAUACGGCUAGCGGAAAGGGCAUUUAUAGGCAGCUACACGGGAUAGGCCCGCAUGGCGUGGCCCCUUUCCCUUAAUGGUGAAGGGAAAGCGGUGCGGCCGACCAGAAAGGAUAGGGUUGCUGCACGUUCCACGGAUAAAUAGGCGGGGACAGCGGGGUGAGGACGUGUCGGUCCCGACUGCGCCGCCUGUUGAUUAACAGUGGCCAUGCCGGAUGCCAGGGAUGGGUCAAAUCUCUUAGGGUCAUUAUGGGUUGAUGGUGGCGAUGAUCUAAUGCUAGGAUAAUCUAUGCCAGCAUGGCUGUUCUGAUACCGCCCUAUGGCACCCCGAUCCGCAUAGAGUAGGGGGCCUUCGUACGUCAGCCCAGGAUAACACCUGACGCAUGACAGGUCCAUGAUACAACAUUCCAGGUACAAGAAUAUUCAUCAAAUACUUGUGUAUUACAUCAGAGAUGAAUAUAAUCUUCUGGCAUAGCCCUAAGGCUAUUUACAUGGCAGCGGAAGUCUAUUAAAAUGGCGGCGGAAGUCUUGGUAGCAUAUCACUCUGGCUGGGAUCCACAACUCACAGGACUGGCAAGAUUACGACCUAGCACGACGGAACAAGUGAACGACCUAUAAAAAUGGCAUGACACGCCAGGUCAGUACAUUGAAUGUACUUGCAAGACAACCAAAUACAUAACAUCCAAACAAGCAGAAGACAAAGCAGGAAGCAAGCGAAUGCAACAACCUAUCUUAUAUCAAUUACUAAACAUGGCAUGAUAUCAAUUGAAGACAUAAAUUAGACUAACAUCAUGGCAGCCACUAGCAUGGCAACAACAUAGCAUAGCAAAUUUACUUCUGACAUGGCAACAACAAAACAUAGCAUAUCAUCUCAAUCAUAGCAAUCAACACAUGGCAUGGCAUCAUGAAACUAUGCUGAAAAUAAACUACCAAUCAUAUCAAAUGCAGACAUAGCAUGUUAACUGUAUGCAACCAUCUCAUGUUCUACCAUGGUUCUUUAAAUGCAAACAUGUUACUCAUGCAAUGCCACCAAACUUGUGCACUGCGUCCCUCGGACUCUCUUACCAACGGUGAUCACCUCAUUUCUUGAUCACAAACAGAGACAAAGCUCGUGAUCCUUAUGGCCAUCACAACCCGGCCAACAACUGGCCCAUGAUCCUUACGGCGAUCACAACCCGACCAAUAAAUGGCCCGUGAUCCUUACGGCGAUCACAACCCGACCAACAACUAGCCCGUGGUCCUUAUGGCGAUCACAACCCGACCAACAACUGGCCCGUGAUCCUUACGGCGAUCACAACCACAUUAAUCAGCUUAAUUAUUUCAGGUUUAUCCUCCAUUUCGACCAAGACCCGAUAGUGUACCCUACUACGAACGUAUGCCCAUGACCGAGGACGCGGCUAUCGAUAGUUUAAAUACACUCUACAGAGGUAGUGCACUGUACCCACACCACAGAACCCAUGGCCUCGUCAUCCCAUUCGG
This 7945-nucleotide long non-coding RNA is filed under the name Triticum aestivum (bread wheat). Its description in RNAcentral is "long non-coding RNA (TAES_LNC016645)". The record is from RNAcentral. Lineage: Eukaryota; Viridiplantae; Streptophyta; Magnoliopsida; Poales; Poaceae.